RNAcentral lists this ribosomal RNA (460 nucleotides) under uncultured bacterium. RNAcentral describes it as "partial 16S ribosomal RNA". It matches the Rfam family "Bacterial small subunit ribosomal RNA", at positions 338 to 795 of the family's 1533-position model. The record is from RNAcentral.
CCUACGGGGGGCAGCAGUGAGGAAUAUUGGUCAAUGGGCGCGAGCCUGAACCAGCCAAGUAGCGUGAAGGAUGACUGCCCUACGGGUUGUAAACUUCUUUUAUAAAGGAAUAAAGUGAGGCACGUGUGCCUUUUUGUAUGUACUUUAUGAAUAAGGAUCGGCUAACUCCGGGCCAGCAGCCGCGGUAAUACGGAGGAUCCGAGCGUUGUCCGGAUUUAUUGGGUUUAAAGGGAGCGUAGAUGGGUUGUUAAGUCAGUUGUGAAAGUUUGCGGCUCAACCGUAAAAUUGCAAUUGAUAAUGGCAGCCUUGAGUACAGUUGAGGUAGGCGGAAUUCGUGGUGUAGCGGUGAAAUGCUUAGAUAUCACGAAGAACACCGAUUGCGAAGGCAGCUUACUAAACUGCCACUGACAUUGAGGCUCGAAAGUGUGGGUAUCAAACAGGAUUAGAUACCCGAGUAGUC